This is a ribosomal RNA of Betta splendens (Siamese fighting fish), 119 nucleotides long. NCBI's taxonomy places the organism in Eukaryota, Metazoa, Chordata, Actinopteri, Anabantiformes, Osphronemidae. The record is from Ensembl.
GCUUAUGGCCAUACCACCCUGAGCACGCCCGAUCUUGUCUGAUCUCGGAAGCUAAGCAGGCUCGAUCCUGGUUAGUACUUGGAUGGGAGACCGCCUGGGAAUACCAGGUGCUGUAAGCU